CAUAAUCUCUGAGGAGAAAAGCAGGGGAUCGCAAGACCUUGCGCUUUUGGAGCGGCCGAUGCCUGAUUAGCUUGUUGGUAAGGUAAAAGCUUACCAAGGCUUCGAUUAGUAGCUGGUCUGAGAGGACGACCAGCCACACUGGGACUGAGACACGGCCCAGACUCCUACGGGAGGCAGCAGUGGGGAAUUUUGGACAAUGGGGGCAACCCUGAUCCAGCCAAGCCGCGUGAGUGAAGAAGGCCUUCGGGUUGUAAAGCUCUUUCAGCCGGAACGAAACGGUUACGGUUAAUACCCGUGACUAAUGACGGUACCGGAAGAAGAAG
Molecule: ribosomal RNA, 323 nt
Filed under: uncultured beta proteobacterium
Lineage: Bacteria; Pseudomonadati; Pseudomonadota; Betaproteobacteria
Description: bacterial SSU rRNA
Rfam family: Bacterial small subunit ribosomal RNA
Source: RNAcentral